RNAcentral lists this ribosomal RNA (329 nucleotides) under uncultured eukaryote. RNAcentral describes it as "partial 18S ribosomal RNA". It matches the Rfam family "Eukaryotic small subunit ribosomal RNA", at positions 1470 to 1796 of the family's 1831-position model. The record is from RNAcentral.
CCCUUAGAUGUUCUGGGCCGCACGCGCGCUACACUGAUGCAUUCAACGAGUCUAAAACCUGCUCUGAUAGGGGUGGGUAAUCUUUUGAAUGUGCAUCGUGAUUGGGAUAGAUGAUUGCAAUUUUUCAUCUUCAACGAGGAAUGCCUAGUAAACGCAAGUCAUCAGCUUGCAUUGAUUACGUCCCUGCCCUUUGUACACACCGCCCGUCGCUCCUACCGAUUGAAUGAUCCGAUGAAUAUCAUGGAUUGAGGAUGCAAGCAGGUUCGCCUGUCUUCAUCUUCGAGAAGGGAAGUAAAUCUUAUCAUUUAGAGGAAGGAGAAGUCGUAACA